This 283-nucleotide non-coding RNA is filed under the name Clostridium argentinense. RNAcentral describes it as "T-box sequence". It matches the Rfam family "T-box leader". Rfam says of the family: Uncharged tRNA acts as the effector for transcription antitermination of genes in the T-box leader family. Lineage: Bacteria; Bacillati; Bacillota; Clostridia; Eubacteriales; Clostridiaceae. The record is from RNAcentral.
UUUAAAGCGUUGAAGAGAAGAGUAAGUUUAUAAUUUCUUUUACAGAGAACUUCUAAUUGGUUAGAAGAGGUAGUGAAUAGUAAACUGAACAUGGUCUUGGAGCUUCUGUACCGAGAUUCCUAUGAAUUUAGACUACAGCGGUAAAAUCUGCAUCCGUUACAGUGCUUAGAGUAUAAACACAAAUAAUUGUUAAAUUGGUUUUGUGUCGUACUUGAAGAGAUUUAUAUGGUGACAUAUAAAUAAAUUAGGGUGGUAACACGAAGUAUUUACUCUCGUCCCUAAG